RNAcentral lists this transfer RNA (537 nucleotides) under uncultured cyanobacterium. RNAcentral's name for it is "partial 16S-23S ribosomal RNA intergenic spacer". The stretch from base 209 to 281 matches the Rfam family "tRNA". Lineage: Bacteria; Bacillati; Cyanobacteriota. The record is from RNAcentral.
CAGGGAGACAACAAAAUGUUUAAUAUUAUUUUGUCACCUUAGGUCGAUCGGUAUCUCACGUUUUUAAUUUAUUAAGAAUUUCAUUUCCUAAGUUUUUCUAGGUCACACCCAUUAUUUUUCCUGGGCCAUUAGCUCAGGUGGUUAGAGCGCACCCCUGAUAAGGGUGAGGUCCCUGGUUCAAGUCCGGGAUGGCCCAUAUCUCUAUGUUGGGGGUAUAGCUCAGUUGGUAGAGCGCCUGCUUUGCAAGCAGGAUGUCAGCGGUUCGAGUCCGCUUACCUCCACUGAUUACCACCUCUUCCAUACCGGUAGAAUGGAAAUGUUUUGAGUCGUGAUCAAAUUCUGAAAGAAUCUAGCUUCCUAAUGAAAUCAUUAAGAUGCUGGACUCAUUGAAUUAAUUUCAUUGUUUUCAGAGAACCUUGACAACUGCAUAGAUUAUUUUUAAAGACAAUAAGCAUCUUUAAUGAUGCAGAUUUAUUAUUUGUGCGAAUGCAUUAAUAACAAUUCUAUUAAGCUGAUGCUUCAAUUUUUGAAGUUAUU